AAAAUGCGAUAAGUAAUGUGAAUUGCAGAAUUCAGUGAAUCAUCGAAUCUUUGAACGCACAUUGCGCCCGCCAGUAUUCUGGCGGGCAUGCCUGUUCGAGCGUCAUUUCAACCCUCAAGCUCAGCUUGGUGUUGGGUCUCGCGGUAACCCGCGUUCCCCAAAUCGAUUGGCGGUCACGUCGAGCUUCCAUAGCGUAGUAAUCAUACACCUCGUUACUGGUAAUCGUCGCGGCCACGCCGUAAAACCCCAACUUCUGAAUGUUGACCUCGGAUCAGGUAGGAAUACCCGCUGAACUUAAGC
This 300-nucleotide unclassified non-coding RNA is filed under the name plant metagenome. RNAcentral describes it as "partial contains 5.8S ribosomal RNA, internal transcribed spacer 2, and large subunit ribosomal RNA". The stretch from base 1 to 105 matches the Rfam family "5.8S ribosomal RNA", at positions 50 to 154 of the family's 154-position model. The record is from RNAcentral.